UACGGAGGGUGCAAGCGUUGCUCGGAAUUACUGGGCGUAAAGCGGGCGCAGGCGGUUCAUCAAGUCGAUUGUGAAAGCCCGGAGCUCAACUCCGGAACUGCAGUCGAAACUGAUGAACUUGAGUACGAGAGAGGAGAGCGGAAUUCCUGGUGUAGAGGUGAAAUUCGUAGAUAUCAGGAGGAACAUCAGCGGCGAAGGCG
Molecule: ribosomal RNA, 200 nt
Filed under: uncultured bacterium
Lineage: Bacteria
Description: partial 16S ribosomal RNA
Rfam family: Bacterial small subunit ribosomal RNA
Source: RNAcentral